UACGUAGGGUGCGAGCGUUGUCCGGAAUUAUUGGGCGUACAGGGCUCGUAGGCGGUUUGUCGCGUCGGGGGUGAAAACCUUGGGCUUAACUCAGGGCUUGCUUUCGAUACGGGCAGACUAGAGGUAUGCAGGGGAGAACGGAAUUCCUGGUGUAGCGGUGAAAUGCGCAGAUAUCAGGAGGAACACCGGUGGCGAAGGCGGUUCUCUGGGCAUGAUCUGACGCUGAGGAGCGAAAGUGUGGGGAGCGAACAGG
This 253-nucleotide ribosomal RNA is filed under the name uncultured bacterium. RNAcentral's name for it is "partial 16S ribosomal RNA". It matches the Rfam family "Bacterial small subunit ribosomal RNA", at positions 524 to 776 of the family's 1533-position model. The record is from RNAcentral.